Long non-coding RNA from Agrilus planipennis (emerald ash borer), 344 nucleotides. RefSeq lists it as uncharacterized. The record is from RefSeq and is a predicted model, not a curated record. The transcript has 3 exons. Lineage: Eukaryota; Metazoa; Arthropoda; Insecta; Coleoptera; Buprestidae.
UACGCCGUAAAGUUACGUUAUUAAAAGUAGGUGAUUUCAUAUAUUUUGGACAAAAAAAAAUAGAAAAACCAGUAUACACGCGGCAUACUAGAGAUAUGCAGUAUCGAAUGAUCGCAUUUUUUGUAACAGAGCCUCUACGAUCGCGAUUUAUUUCGAGUUGCAAAAGGAACAUACAGGAACUGUCCGCCAUAUUGAAUCUUCAUCAGACAUGGCGUGUGAAAGCGAUUGAUACGAGAUAUUAGUAAUGUUGGUUCGAGUCCCUUCCUAACAUGAUUUUAAAAAAAGCGGCGAUUUGAUGGUGAAAAUUGAUCUAUUUGAAUAACAUAGUCUAGAACAGAUUGGCU